Long non-coding RNA from Cornus florida, 825 nucleotides. RefSeq lists it as uncharacterized. The record is from RefSeq and is a predicted model, not a curated record. The transcript has 5 exons. NCBI's taxonomy places the organism in Eukaryota, Viridiplantae, Streptophyta, Magnoliopsida, Cornales, Cornaceae.
UUUCAGAUUGUUCAAAAAAUCAAAACCCACAUCUUUUAGUUUCCAUCGCCCGCUGUUCCAGUUCGGGUUCACCGUUCGCAAGCUUCAGCCGCUGGCCUGCUGUGUCUCAACUCUCGAGCUUGCCCCCUCUCUCUCUCUCUGCAACUGGUAACUUGUCUUUUUUCUGAAAGAAGAGAGUUGAUGGGAAUGGGUGGAGUUGGCAAAAAGAAAAUAGUGUGGAUCAAUACACUAUUACGUUAUACAAGGUAAUGGAAAACUUCAGAGCGACUAUGAUGUUGCUACGAGACCACCAUUGACGAGUGGGUCAAGAAGUAUGAAGCUAUGUUUUUGGCCAUUUUACCUAACGGCCCCGCUCAAUCCAAGGCACCUACUUACCAGCAAAGGCAUUAAGAUAAUUGGAGGCAUGUUUGCUUUGACACAUCUACACGAUCUGGGAUUCCACACUAGUGGAAAGUGGAAAAACAUUUAUGUUGUCAAACAUAGCUCAAGAUUGUUGGCAGACCUUGAGAAAGGAGUGAGAAAGGAGUGGAGGACGGUUUCCGAAAAUUAUCUCAAAUUUUCUGAAUGGAUCGAAUUGAAACUGUUCCCUCCAAAGAAGGAUGAAUUCCCCGACAUACUGGAGUGGGGUCGCUUAAGCCAAACAUUCGACAUUAUUACGUCCUGUAGAUGGGACUUAUUUCAUAACUAGGCUUCUUGACAACGUAACAUCACUGAAUUGCUAUUCACGUCUUGUGAAACAAUUUCAAAGUUUCAAAAUGACUGUGAACGGGAAGUAGGUAAAAGAUUGGCGAAGGUGUGUUCCCCUAAUACUGAACUGUCUAAGGU